UCUGCCAGUAGUCAUAUGCUUGUCUUAAAGAUUAAGCCAUGCAUGUCUAAGUAUAAGCAAUUAUACAGCGAAACUGCGAAUGGCUCAUUAAAUCAGUUAUCGUUUAUUUGAUAGUACCUUACUACAUGGAUAACCGUGGUAAUUCUAGAGCUAAUACAUGCUGAAAACCCCGACUUCGGAAGGGGUGUAUUUAUUAGAUUAAAAACCAAUGCCCUCCGGGGCUCACUGGUGAUUCAUGAUAACUUCUCGAAUCGCACGGCCUUGCGCCGGCGAUGGUUCAUUCAAAUUUCUGCCCUAUCAACUUUCGACGGCUGGGUCUUGGCCAGCCGUGGUGACAACGGGUAACGGAGGGUUAGGGCUCGACCCCGGAGAAAACGCCUGAGAAACGGCGUUUACAUCCAAGGAAGGCAGCAGGCGCGCAAAUUACCCAAUGCCGACACGGCGAGGUAGUGACGAGAAAUACUGAUACAGGGCUCUUUUGGGUCUUGUAAUUGGAAUGAGUACAAUUUAAAUCUCUUAACGAGGAACAAUUGGAGGGCAAGUCUGGUGCCAGCAGCCGCGGUAAUUCCAGCUCCAAUAGCGUAUAU
This 587-nucleotide ribosomal RNA is filed under the name Magnaporthiopsis cynodontis. RNAcentral's name for it is "SSU rRNA". It matches the Rfam family "Eukaryotic small subunit ribosomal RNA", at positions 13 to 604 of the family's 1831-position model. Lineage: Eukaryota; Fungi; Ascomycota; Sordariomycetes; Magnaporthales; Magnaporthaceae. The record is from RNAcentral.